AGUCGAACGGGGAUGUGCGGAAGCCUUCGGGCUAAAGCGCAUUCCAGUGGCGGACGGGUGAGUAACGCGUGAGGAACCUGCCUCGAACUGGGGGAUAACAGCGAGAAAUCGUUGCUAAUACCGCAUAAGACCACAUGGCCGCAUGGCCAAGGGGUCAAAGAUUAUAUCGGUUUGAGAUGGACUCGCGUCUGAUUAGCUAGUUGGUGGGGUAACGGCCUACCAAGGCAGCGAUCAGUAGCCGAGCUGAGAGGCUGAUCGGCCACACUGGGACUGAGACACGGCCCAGACUCCUACGGGAGGCAGCAGUGGGGAAUAUUGGGCAAUGGGGGAAACCCUGACCCAGCAACGCCGCGUGAAGGAAGAAGGUUUUCGGAUUGUAAACUUCUGUCCUUGGGGACGAAACAAAUGACGGUACCCAAGGAGGAAGCCCCGGCUAACUACGUGCCAGCAGCCGCGGUAAUACGUAGGGGGCAAGCGUUGUCCGGAAUUACUGGGCGUAAAGGGAGCGCAGGCGGUCUUUUAAGUAGGAUGUGAAAUACCCGGGCUUAACCUGGGGGGUGCAUCCUAAACUGGGGGACUUGAGUGUGGGAGAGGAAAGUGGAAUUCCUAGUGUAGCGGUGAAAUGCGUAGAUAUUAGGAGGAACACCAGUGGCGAAGGCGGCUUUCUGGACCAUAACUGACGCUGAGGCUCGAAAGCGUGNGGAGCAAACAGGAUUAGAUACCCUGGUAGUCCACGCUGUAAACGAUGAAUACUAGGUGUAGGGGGUAUCAACUCCCUCUGUGCCGCAGCAAACGCAAUAAGUAUUCCGCCUGGGGAGUACGGUCGCAAGACUGAAACUCAAAGGAAUUGACGGGGGGCCCGCACAAGCAGCGGAGCAUGUGGUUUUAUUCCAAAGCAACGCGGAGAAACCUUACCAAAGGCUUGACAUCCAC
Molecule: ribosomal RNA, 933 nt
Filed under: uncultured bacterium
Lineage: Bacteria
Description: bacterial SSU rRNA
Rfam family: Bacterial small subunit ribosomal RNA
Source: RNAcentral